This is a non-coding RNA of Peromyscus maniculatus bairdii (prairie deer mouse), 648 nucleotides long. Lineage: Eukaryota; Metazoa; Chordata; Mammalia; Rodentia; Cricetidae. The record is from RefSeq and is a predicted model, not a curated record.
GACUUGAUGAAUAUAAUCAGAUACCAUCUAGAAAAGGCUGGUUUGUGACCUCAGGAGUUGGAGGAAGCAAGCCUCCGCCAGGUUAUAAUUAGACAAGAGAUGGAACAAGAUAAAAAUGAAGUGUUUGGAAUAGCCCAGAGUGCUGAUAUGAUGUGGCGCAUGUCAAACUGAUUUCUAUACAAACAAGAGAGAAAGGAGCUAAAAAAACAGCUGCCAUAUGAAGGAAGACUUUGAGGAAUAAGAGGAAACUCCCCCGGCUGACUGAAAUAUCCUCAGAACAGAACAACUACAAGAAAACAAGUGGAUCGCCAAAGACUCAAAUCCUUCAGAAGCCACAUACAUGCCGUGGAAGCUCUCACCUCAUGCUGUUCAAGGCUUUUCUCUGGAGGAAGUCCCAGGUUCUGCUCCCGCUGCCUCUCAAGUGCACAAGGGUCAUACUGAACCCAUAUUUAACGGACUUCCUUCAGGAGUCUCUUGUUGGAGCCACAAGGACCCUUAAGAAAAAUCCUUGGAGGCAGCUGGUCCCUGCUGUCAUUGAGACCCAAAGGAGGAGCUCCACGGCCGGCCGAGGGGCUGCUCCCUAGAUGUCAUGAGGUUGCUUGUAUUUCAAAAGAACUCAGCUUACCACCUCUGUGGCUUUUAGCCUCU